CUCAACAUGGAGCUUGAACUCACGACCCUGAGGUGAAGACCUGAGCUGAGAUCAAGAGUCUGGCUCUUAACCAACUGAGUCACCCAGGGACACCAUCUUUUUAAAUUCCCCAGGUCCAGAGACGUUGGAGAGUUGGAGCAAAACCAAAAUUACUGGUUCCUUGAAG
RNAcentral lists this long non-coding RNA (166 nucleotides) under Felis catus (domestic cat). Its description in RNAcentral is "lncRNA (ENSFCAG00000044505.2)". Lineage: Eukaryota; Metazoa; Chordata; Mammalia; Carnivora; Felidae. The record is from RNAcentral.